CCUACUGGUCCCGGGUGCCGCGCGUGCGCACUUUGGGUGUGCGGGCCAGUGCCUGAUGGGAGUUGAUACCGCUGUACCAGAGCGUACCUGGCCCGAGCCACCCUGAUAUGAUAAAUAGCCAAAGACGUCAGUGACACGAACACAGUAAGCAUAGUAGGAGCUGAAAAACUAGAAGCAAUGAAAAUGUCAACUAUUUUGAUCAAAAAGUAGCAGUGUCUUCAGAAUUUGAUCAUAAAACCAGGAAUUAAAGGAUGAGAAAACCAUUUUUCUGAAGCUUAUACUUUCACAUUUCCUAGAGAACAUAUUUGUAUGGAUGGGGGAUGAAGAGGAUCUCCCAGGACUUUUCUCAGUGUCCUCAUGAGGGAGCCUCAGAGAAUGGAGAAAGUUCAAGUUCAUCAUGAUAGCACCUCGGCUGUGAACUCAUAGGAACAGGUGAGUAAAUCUGAAAAGCACAAUAGCAUUGGCUAGAUGAUCACUUGAGUUAUAUCGUCUUCUUAAUUCCUGCGGUAGCUGAGUAUAGAAAUUUCAGUUUAGUUACAUAAACUGUAGCAUGAUUUUUUACUCCUCUUUUGAUAGCAAUCAUCAAAGAUUUAGAGAAAUGGAAUAAAUAAUAAUCUAUGGUUCAUAGAAACCGGGAUAAAAAUUAUAAGGCUCUUAGUUCUCUCUUUUUUCCAGAUGUUAGUUAUCAUAUCCCCUAAGGAAAUAUUAAAAGGCUAUGACCUAGGCUGAUUACAUUUAUAAAAGCAAUGAAAAUAAUCCCAAUGUGUGCAUACAUACCAGCUUUGGUGGGUGGGGUAACAUAGCAGGGGAUAAAACAGCCCUAGAAUGCAAAUACUAAAAUAACCAUUGUCUAUCAAGCAAAAGGGCCACCAAGAAUCAAGGGUGCCUUGGAAAGGGAAGUGUCCUGGGGCACAAGAGUUGGGUCUGCAG
Molecule: long non-coding RNA, 930 nt
Filed under: Aotus nancymaae (Ma's night monkey)
Lineage: Eukaryota; Metazoa; Chordata; Mammalia; Primates; Aotidae
Description: lncRNA (ENSANAG00000038734.1)
Source: RNAcentral